CAGCAGCCGCGGGAAAACGGAGGGGGCUAGCGUUGUUCGGAAUUACUGGGCGUAAAGCGCACGUAGGCGGCUUGGUAAGUUAGAGGUGAAAGCCCAGGGCUCAACCCUGGAAUUGCCUUUAAGACUGCCGAGCUAGUAGGUGAGAGAGGUGAGUGGAAUUCCGAGUGUAGAGGUGAAAUUCGUAGAUAUUCGGAAGAACACCAGUGGCGAAGGCGGCUCACUGGCUCAUUCUAGACGCUGAGGUGCGAAAGCGUGGGGAGCAAACAGGAUUAGAUACCCCCGUAGUCCCUGUCUCUUAUAC
RNAcentral lists this ribosomal RNA (301 nucleotides) under uncultured bacterium. RNAcentral describes it as "partial 16S ribosomal RNA". It matches the Rfam family "Bacterial small subunit ribosomal RNA", at positions 509 to 807 of the family's 1533-position model. The record is from RNAcentral.